RNAcentral lists this long non-coding RNA (513 nucleotides) under Homo sapiens (human). RNAcentral's name for it is "HSALNT0281855". Lineage: Eukaryota; Metazoa; Chordata; Mammalia; Primates; Hominidae. The record is from RNAcentral.
UGCAGAGGCAAGGAUCGAGUCUGCUGCAGACCCAGGCGGAUUCACCACUGCUAACAAUCACGGUACUGCAUUCCAGCCUUGGCGACAGAGUGAGACUCCGUCUCUAAAAAACAAAUAAAAACCUUUACUUCUCAGAACUGUCAAAAGGAAUAGAGACUCGAGGGGGAAAUCUGGCAGAGGAAAUGUAGAAGCACUUAGACAAACAUGUGCAAUCUUCAAGAGAGUUCCCUUGACAUUUUGCUGACUUUUACAACUGUGAUCCUGCGAGGAGAAAAGGAGUUUUUGUUCACAGGUGGACUCACUGAAACACCAGCCUUCAGGGAAGCCCAUGGAGGUCUUUCCUUCGUGGUUCCCAUUUGCCUAGCAGGAGUUCCCUAAUGGGCCUACAUCACCUCAGGCCUAGGCCGGCUUGUGGCUUGCUUGCCAUCCAGUAGCAGGUCACGUGGGUUGUGGCAUCAUUAGUUACAAGCUGCAAUACAAAAUAAUAGUAACAAAGUAGAUGGGGAAAUUUCC